AUUGAACGCUGGCGGUAGGCCUAACACAUGCAAGUCGAACGGCAGCACAGUAAGAGCUUGCGCUUACGGGUGGCGAGUGGCGGACGGUUGCGGAAUACAUCGGAAUCUACUUUUUCGUGGGGGAUAACGUAGGGAAACUUACGCUAAUACCGCAUACGACCUACGGGUGAAAUCAUGGGAUCUUCGGACCUUGCGCGAUUGAAUGAGCCUAUGUCGGAUUAGCUAGUUGGCGGGGUAAAGGCCCACCAAGGCGACGAUCCGUAGCUGGUCUGAGAGGAUGAUCAGCCACACUGGAACUGAGACACGGUCCAGACUCCUACGGGAGGCAGCAGUGGGGAAUAUUGGACAAUGGGCGAAAGCCUGAUCCAGCCAUACCGCGUGGGUGAAGAAGGUCUUCGGGUUGUAAAGCACUUUUGUUGGGAAAGAAAAGCAGUAGGUUAAUACCCCGCUGUUCUGACGGUACCAACAGAAUAAGCACCGGCUAACUUCGUG
This 492-nucleotide ribosomal RNA is filed under the name uncultured bacterium. RNAcentral's name for it is "partial 16S ribosomal RNA". It matches the Rfam family "Bacterial small subunit ribosomal RNA", at positions 30 to 507 of the family's 1533-position model. The record is from RNAcentral.